This 1341-nucleotide ribosomal RNA is filed under the name uncultured bacterium. RNAcentral's name for it is "partial 16S ribosomal RNA". It matches the Rfam family "Bacterial small subunit ribosomal RNA", at positions 28 to 1381 of the family's 1533-position model. The record is from RNAcentral.
GACGAACUCUGGCGGCGUGCUUAACACAUGCAAGUCGAACGGUAAGGCUCCAGCUUGCUGGGGUACACGAGUGGCGAACGGGUGAGUAACACGUGGGUGACCUGCCCUGCACUUCGGGAUAAGCCUGGGAAACUGGGUCUAAUACCGGAUAGGACUGCACCGUGAGGGUGUGGUGGAAAGUUUUUUCGGUGUGGGAUGGGCCCGCGGCCUAUCAGCUUGUUGGUGGGGUAAUGGCCUACCAAGGCGGCGACGGGUAGCCGGCCUGAGAGGGUGGACGGCCACAUUGGGACUGAGACACGGCCCAGACUCCUACGGGAGGCAGCAGUGGGGAAUAUUGCACAAUGGGCGGAAGCCUGAUGCAGCGACGCCGCGUGGGGGAUGACGGCCUUCGGGUUGUAAACUCCUUUCACCAUCGACGAAGGGUUUCUGACGGUAGAUGGAGAAGAAGCACCGGCUAACUACGUGCCAGCAGCCGCGGUAAUACGUAGGGUGCGAGCGUUGUCCGGAAUUACUGGGCGUAAAGAGCUCGUAGGUGGUUUGUCGCGUCGUCUGUGAAAUUCCGGGGCUUAACUCCGGGCGUGCAGGCGAUACGGGCAUAACUUGAGUACUGUAGGGGAGACUGGAAUUCCUGGUGUAGCGGUGAAAUGCGCAGAUAUCAGGAGGAACACCGGUGGCGAAGGCGGGUCUCUGGGCAGUAACUGACGCUGAGGAGCGAAAGCAUGGGGAGCGAACAGGAUUAGAUACCCUGGUAGUCCAUGCCGUAAACGGUGGGCGCUAGGUGUGGGUUUCCUUCCACGGGAUCCGUGCCGUAGCUAACGCAUUAAGCGCCCCGCCUGGGGAGUACGGCCGCAAGGCUAAAACUCAAAGGAAUUGACGGGGGCCCGCACAAGCGGCGGAGCAUGUGGAUUAAUUCGAUGCAACGCGAAGAACCUUACCUGGGCUUGACAUAUACAGGAUCGCGCCAGAGAUGGUGUUUCCCUUGUGGCUUGUAUACUGGUGGUGCAUGGUUGUCGUCAGCUCGUGUCGUGAGAUGUUGGGUUAAGUCCCGCAACGAGCGCAACCCUUGUCUUAUGUUGCCAGCACGUUGUGGUGGGGACUCGUAAGAAACUGCCGGGGUUAACUCGGAGGAAGGUGGGGAUGACGUCAAAUCAUCAUGCCCCUUAUGUCCAGGGCUUCACACAUGCUACAAUGGUCGGUACAGUGGGUUGCCAGUCCGUGAGGGCGAGCUAAUCCCGCAAAGCCGGUCUCAGUUCGGAUCGGGGUCUGCAACUCGACCCCGUGAAGUCGGAGUCGCUAGUAAUCGCAGAUCAGCAACGCUGCGGUGAAUACGUUCCCGGGCCU